GGACCUCUCGCCCCCGCCUUCUCCGGCGCCGUUCGCCGCCCGCGGUUUGCAGCCCAUCGCGCCCUUCGCCGCGGGACAGCCGGAGCCGCCGCCCGUCGCGCACUGCGGGAGCCGCCGCAGGUUGUCGCUUGUCGCGCCCUUCGCCGUGGGAGAGCCGGAGCCACCGCCCGUCGCGCGCCGGAGGAGCCACCGCAGGUCGCCGCGGGAGAGCCGGGGCCGCCGCGAUCGUGAGCAGCCGCCCGCCCAUCCUCCAUCCCUACGCGGGCGCACCUUCCUUCAGCUCCUCCUCGCGCCGCCCCUCUCCUUUGCCCCGGCCGCCAAGACCCAGCGGUCGCUUCACCGGGUUGCGGCGCCGCCCCGCCCGAUAGCCUCCCAGCGGCCGCCUGCCGCCAUCCGCGCAGACUGCUUCACCGACGCCCGCGGCCGCUUCACCAGGCCACGGCGUCGCCGGCCCAUCCCUGUGUGUGCAACGGCUGAAAAUUUCGAUCUGCGAUGGUGCGCGGAGAUCAAGCGAUGACGGCAACAGCGUCGAGCUUUGCAGGUAUUGAUCCCCCCCUCCCCUUCCCCAGCAAUGCUUGAAUUGGACUGCAUGAAUGAAUUUGCUGGCACGAGUAUGCAAGAUAGAAAAAUAAGUGAAUCUUUUGAUGUUGCCCCCUCCGCAUUAGUAUGGAAUUCAGAAAUUAUCUUGUUAUCUUUGCCCACUAGCAUUUUCUAGACUAAUAAUGGUAGUGCAGAUUUCAGCUAGAGCUUGCAGAGUUCUAAAAUAUGUUGACCAAAUCGUUUCUUCAAAACCUGGUUCACAAAUACUAUGAUCUUGCUACUAGCUUCUAUGAGUGUGGCUGGACUGAAUCCUUCCACUUUGCUCAUAGCAUUUUAGGUGGAAUGGUGAACCUUGAAGCGGAAGUACCAAACGGUACGAGCACUUUCUGGCCCUAUGGCUUGAGUUGAAGCCUGGGAUGAAGGUCGUUUUUCUUAUGAAGAUCGAAUAACCCAUGGUUUUGGAUGUCAGGUAUGGAAUAGGCAGGCCAUUAAGAGAAAUUCCAAGAUUUAGGUUUAAUUCCUGUUUCGCGCUUUCACCUCUCUUCAUACGUGUGAAUACUGAUGUGUUCGGGUUUAGAAAUUCUCAUAUGCAUGAUUAAUGCAACUGAAGUGAUUCAUGUUUUUCUUACUUUCAACUGAAAACUUGUGGGGGCAUGAUUUUGAGGAGGCGAUCCAGAGCACCAAUAAGUUAGAGAAGUUCGACCUCAACCUUUCCAGGAAUUAAUCUAUUUUGGAACGGAGCUCCACCUCAGUUACUGAUUGAACAACAACGACUACCAAAUAACUAGGGAAAGGUCGCCACCAAGAACGGGUCACUGAUAGUAUCAACAUGGAGGCGUGCCUUAGCCUGGAGCCCAGCAAGAAGAUCAUCGGGAGCUUCGGGACAUUUGAGACGGCCGUUCUCCAUGUGGCCAACGCCAUCCAGCUGCAGGCAUUGCGCCGGCCUCGGCAGGAGUCGGUCAAGCCCAAUUGUAGCAUCUAUUGACCAAUGCAAGCUCCAUCAGGAUGUGCGUAGUGUCCAUAAGUUCCCUUUUGGCCAGUACAUGGAGAAAAAAAACAUGGAAUGUACAACAAUCCUACAUGAAACAUUCUGAACAAAGUCAUAUUGAGCUACCCCUAGAAAUUUUUGCAGCUUCUGUGAACUCUUGUUUUAUGUUCUAUAGGGCCAACUUGCAUUUUCACGUCAAGCAUGGCUGAUUAUUAGAGGGCAAGGAAAGAUGGAGUAGCAGAAGCAUUGCUUACGACGAGUUCAUCGGGUCAACAGUGCACAUUAACAAGCAUUGCCUGCUGUCUGCCUUCACCUACUUUGACGAGGAUGACAGCGGGUACAUCACCGUUGACCGCUGGAAGAGGUGUGCUGGGAGUACAACACAAGCUGACCGGCAUCGUGACAUCGCCAGGGAGGUCGGCACUGACAACAUGCGAUGUUCAAAUUGACUAUGGAGAGUAUAUGACAACUCAUGCAGGUUCGUAAUGACUUGAAGAAAGCAUAUGAGAAGCGAGUAUGGGAGCUUUAAUAUUAGAGCAACAGGGGAGGAGCAAAUGAUUGAAGGGCUAUCAGCCGUGUAAAAGAAAGCUGAGGAUAACGUCAACAGGUGGAAAACUAUAUUUGGUUGACAUAAUAACACUAGCAAAGGUGAAUAACAAUGUAACAUUAUCUUUUCAUUAGUUGAUCCAUUCAACUUUUGUUUGAUAUGACUGGCAUGAUAUUUGGAUAGGAAAGUUAUUUGUUAACUCCAUAUCAUUUUUAUGUGCAAGCUAAUAAUUAUGCACUGUGCAUUUGCCUGCAA
Long non-coding RNA from Triticum dicoccoides, 2330 nucleotides. RefSeq lists it as uncharacterized. The record is from RefSeq and is a predicted model, not a curated record. Lineage: Eukaryota; Viridiplantae; Streptophyta; Magnoliopsida; Poales; Poaceae. The transcript has 8 exons.